RNAcentral lists this ribosomal RNA (468 nucleotides) under uncultured bacterium. RNAcentral's name for it is "partial 16S ribosomal RNA". It matches the Rfam family "Bacterial small subunit ribosomal RNA", at positions 28 to 507 of the family's 1533-position model. The record is from RNAcentral.
GACGAACGCUGGCGGCGUGCUUAACACAUGCAAGUCGAACGAUGAAGCCUUAGCUUGCUUUGGUGGAUUAGUGGCGAACGGGUGAGUAACACGUGAGCAACGUGCCCAGGACUCUGGAAUAACCGCGGGAAACCGUGGCUAAUACCGGAUAGGUGCCGAGGCCGCAUGGUCUUCGGUUGGAAAGUUUUUGCGGUUCUGGAUCGGCUCACGGCCUAUCAGCUUGUUGGUGGGGUAAUGGCCUACCAAGGCGACGACGGGUAGCCGGCCUGAGAGGGUGACCGGCCACACUGGGACUGAGACACGGCCCAGACUCCUACGGGAGGCAGCAGUGGGGAAUAUUGCACAAUGGGCGCAAGCCUGAUGCAGCAACGCCGCGUGGGGAUGACGGCCUUCGGGUUGUAAACCUCUUUUAGUAGGGAAGAAGCGCAAGUGACGGUACCUGCAGAAAAAGCACCGGCUAACUACGUG